AGCCCCUGGGAAUCCUGUGGAUCCCACACAAGGAGGCACGAGGGCACAGGCAAGGGUGUAAGGUCAUGUCAUCUGCGUCCCACAGGGGGUGUCUGCAUUGUCGCCAGGCUUCUGGCCAGUGGCCCUCGUCCUUUCCCUGAAAUGGUGAGUGACCUUCAUCCCCAUUUUCCUAGGAUCCUCAGGCAGCUCUCAGCCUUUCACAUGUUCUCGUUGCUUCUCUAACCCCAGAUCCCAGAUGCUGUGAUCUUUUGUUGGUGCCUCCCUCCCUGUCUCCCAACAUUUUGGAUACUCAGGGAAUAGAGGGGAGACACGCUUGUUGUUGCUCUCUACUAAAUUCUCUGUGUCACUUAAGCAUUUAUGAGCAAGAAUGUUUAUAAGAUCCUGGAUUUAAUCGUGAACUAGAAAGAAGAACUUGGGAGAACAGUUCCUUUGUUCCUGGACUCUUGAAGAGGUUGUCUGACCUUUUCCUUUCUCCUUGACCCCUCUUCUCCAUCUGCUGUCCCUGCAGAGCUGACCUUCAGAGCAGGAAGAGGACUAAAGAGCCCCCAUCCCCACCCCCGCCCUGCUCCCCUUGGCCACACACAGCUUCCGGCCCAGACCACUGGGUAGCUUUCCCGGGCUCAUGCCCUGCCCUUGGGAAGAAGCCAGAGGCAGCUGGCAGUUAUGCUGGACUGCUUUUCAGGGUUGACCGUGAGCAAAGGAAGAGGGGCUGGAGAGUCUCUGGAAGUGGAAAUGGGACAGAUUCUCUUAGUAAAUCUAGAAGUGCUUGCAGUCGGGUGCUGGCUGAUCCGGCAAAAGUUGGGUCAACCCAGGGCAAAACAGAAUGCUCUGCUUUCGUCUUCUCAGCCCAGCCUCCCCUCUGCUUUCCUCCCUCUACGUCCUCCUGUUACAUAUGCAACUCGUCUUCCCCAGCUAGUGGUGGCAUCGCUGGAGCUUACCAGGGUAACUCCAGCUCGCAGAAUCUUUGGAAACUUAAAUGAGACCGCUGACGCCAGGGUGUAGGGAGGGUAUCAGGAACCCCCUGGGUUGGGGGCAGUGAUAGUACAAGUGGCAUUUCCUAGGAGAGGAGAAAGCCCUGGUUCCCAGGAGAGGGGAAAGUCCUGGUUUUCUUAACACAGGCUCCAGCAAGUACAGUUUGUGUUGAUCAAAAGUGGGAAUUGGUUAAAAAUAGAUUGAGAAGCAGUUACGCAGUUGAUGCAGUAUUUUACUACUGGCACUCAGAAAAGUUCAUAUGAACUAAGAUCAUCUGAGUUGAGUCAUCUGUCAGCUCCUCCCAUCACCGGAAGGAUUCAGGUCCCACAGUGAAGAGAAGACAUCAAGAGAAGUAGGGGAGUGGGGGUGAGGGGACCACGCAAAUGGAGUAUUCCUUUGACACGGGUCUGGGGUCCUUUUUUUUUUUUUUUUUUUUUGGCCUUGGGCCCUUUCUGUGCCCUAACAGUGAAUUAGCACCUGAGAGUCCCCUUCUGUCUCAAGAAGUCUCUGCCGGAUAUGACACUAAAAGCCUACAUCAGAAGUUCUCGUUGUGGCGCAGCGGAAAUGAAUCUGAACCGUGAGGUUGUGGAUUUGAUCCCCGGCCUCUAUCAGUGGGUUAGAGAUCUGGCGUUGCCAUGAGCUGUGGUGUAGGUUGCAGAUGCGGCUUGGAUCUGGCAUUGCUGUGGCUCUGGUGUAGGCCAGCAGCAACAGCUUCGAUUAGACCCUAGCCUGGGAACC
RNAcentral lists this long non-coding RNA (1710 nucleotides) under Sus scrofa (pig). RNAcentral describes it as "lncRNA (ENSSSCG00005032778.1)". Lineage: Eukaryota; Metazoa; Chordata; Mammalia; Artiodactyla; Suidae. The record is from RNAcentral.